CUGGGGAAGGCAAGGAGGAAGGCCAAGCUGACCCUAUGAGGACAGGAUGCUGUCAUAGCCCCCAGGCUUCAGAGAAAGCAGGUCUGACCAACAGAGAUGGUUAAGCAGAAGGCUGGCUCUUAGAAAGCUCUGUUAGAGGCCUGAAAUUGGGGAAGGAAGCUGAGUCACGUGAUGAGUUUAUUUAAGCCCCUUCUAAGCCCCAGGCCUCCCUGGAAACACCCCCACUGAGAAGGGGCCCCUGCUCCUGCUUUCUCCUCUGAGUCUCUGUUUGUUAUCUCUGUUCACAUUUCCCUGAGCUUCCUUUCUUUGCCCUGGGGAUUCAAGGGACAGAAGGUUCCUCAGAGGAUGUCCCCCUCAUUUUACAAAUGAGGAAACUGAGGCCAAUAAAGGUUAAGUGAUUUGUCAGGAUCAGAAAACCAGUAAGGGUCCAAGGCAACAACUGAACCAAGUCUUCCUGAUCCCAGGUCCAGGGAACUAUACUCUCUUGGUAUAGGUGGGAAAAACACUGAAUUUGAGGCCAAAAGACCUUAGGUUCAGGUCCUGGUCUUCUCAUUUAUAAUCCCAGUGACCUUGGGAAACCAGUAAGGAUUGAAGUUACUAAGUGAUGAAAAAAAUGUCUGGAAAUGGAGGUGGGGGCGCAAACCAGCAUCUACCUCCUUUUCCCCUCCAAUAUUCCAAUUUUGAGCAGCAGAAAUGAGAACAACUGAGGCCAGUUCAUUCAUCAGGCAAUACUUAAAGCACUUAUUAUAUGUUAGGUACAGACCAUAAAAUCAUAAGCUGAGGAAUCCUUGCCCUCCAGGAGCCAGCAUUCUCCUGGCAUGAAAAGAUACAGAAUGUUCCCCCCAUGUAAGGAGGAAUGAUGGCACUUAGAAGUGGAGGGAGACUAAAAAAGCUGUCAGUAAGGACGAUGCAGGAGAAACUAAAUGUGAGCCCAAGAGAGAACACCAAAGCCCAGAAGCUGAUCUUCCCACCAUAUUCUCCCAUUAGACUGUGAGCUCCAUGAGGGAUCCGGCCCCAGCUAUCCAAGGAGAAGAUUGAAGGCUGUCACAUCUGCACCUCAGUCACUCCUGGGGAGCCCCAGGUGCUAUUGGGGAAGGACAAGGCCUUCACCUAUGACUUUGUCUUUGACCUGGACACUUGGCAAGAGCAGAUCUACACAGCUUGUGUGGGCAAGCUUAUUGAAGGCUGCUUUGAGGGCUACAAUGCCACAGUUUUGGCCUAUGGACAGACAGGAGCUGGGAAGACAUACACCAUGGGCACUGGCUUCGACAUAAACACAUCAGAAGAGGAGCAUGGUAUCAUCCCAAGGGCCAUAGCCCACCUCUUCAGGGGCAUUGCCCAACGCAAGAGACAGGCCCAGGAGCAGGGAGUACCUGGGCCUGAGUUCAAAGUCAGUGCACAGUUUCUGGAGCUUUACAAUGAGGAGAUCCUGGACCUGUUCGACAGCACCCGAGAUCUUGACUCCCGCCAUCGAAAAUCCAACAUUAAGAUCCAUGAGGAUGCCAAUGGGGGUAUCUACACCACAGGCGUCACCUCCCGUCUCAUCAAUUCCCAAGAAGAGCUGAUCCAGUGUUUGAAGCAAGGAGCUCUGUCCCGGACAACAGCCAGCACACAAAUGAAUGUGCAGAGCUCCCGUUCUCAUGCCAUCUUCACCAUCCACCUGUGCCAGAUGCGAGUCUGUGCCCAGCCUGAACUGGUGAAUGAUGAGGUGCCCGGCCUUACUGAUGGUACAGCCCCUACCAAUGAGUAUGAGACACUCACGGCCAAGUUUCAUUUCGUCGAUCUGGCAGGUUCUGAGCGGCUGAAACGGACAGGGGCCACAGGCGAGAGGGCCAAGGAGGGCAUCUCGAUCAACUGUGGCCUGCUGGCGUUGGGCAACGUGAUCAGUGCCCUUGGAGACCAGAGCAAAAAGGCAGUACACGUGCCCUACCGGGACUCCAAACUCACUCGACUCCUUCAGGACUCACUCGGGGGUAACAGCCAGACAAUCAUGAUUGCCUGUGUGAGUCCAUCAGACAGGGACUUUAUGGAGACCCUGAACACGCUCAAGUAUGCCAACAGGGCCCGGAACAUCAAGAACAAGGUGAUCGUGAACCAGGAUAAGACCAGCCAGCAGAUCAGUGCCCUUCGGGCAGAGAUUGCCCGCCUGCAAAUGGAGUUGAUGGAAUACAAAGCGGGUAAGCGAGUGAUCGGCGAGGAUGGCUCAGAGGGCUACAGUGACCUGUACCGGGAGAAUGCCAUGCUGCAGAAAGAGAAUGGCACACUGCGAAUGCGGGUGAAAGCCAUGCAGGAGGCCAUUGAUGCCAUCAACAAUCGAGUCACCCAUCUCAUGAGCCAGGAGGCCAGCCUGCUCCUGGCUAAAGCUGGAGAUGGCAAUGAGGCCAUUGGUACUCUGAUCCAGAACUAUAUCCGAGAGAUUGAGGAGCUUCGAACAAAGCUUCUGGAGAGUGAAGCAAUGAAUGAAUCUCUGCGCCGUACUCUCUCACGGUCCGCCAUGAGGCCCCCCUACUCCACAAGCAAUCCCACUCCCCAAACCCAAGGAGGCUAUAUGAGUAGCCCAUCAACUUCCAUGGAAACAGAAGCCUUUGAGGUGAUCCGCAAAGCCAAACAAGACCUGGAACGACUAAAGAAAAAGGAGACCAGACAAAGAAGAAAAAGCCCAGAGAAAGAGGCAUUUAAAAAGAGAGCAAAGUUACAUCAAGAGAAUGGAGAAGAGACAGAUGAGAAUGAAGCUGAGGAGGAGGAAGAGGAAGAUCGCGAUGAAAGCGGUUGUGAAGAAGAAGAAGGACGAGAAGAUGAAGAUGAAGAUUCAGGCAGCGAGGAGAGCGUGGUAGACUCAGACUCAGAUCCUGAAGAGAAGGAGGUGAACUUCCAAGCUGACCUGGCUGACUUGACCUGUGAGAUUGAGAUCAAGCAGAAGCUGAUCGAUGAGCUGGAGAAUAGCCAGCGACGACUGCAGACUCUGAAGCACCAGUAUGAGGAGAAACUGAUCCUGUUACAGAACAAGAUCCGGGAUACCCAGCUUGAGCGGGACCGAGUACUACAGAACCUCAGCACCAUGGAGUGCUACACCGAGGAGAAAGCCAACAAGAUCAGGGCUGAUUACGAGAAGCGCCUGCGGGAGAUGAAUCGGGACCUUCAGAAGUUGCAGGCAGCCCAGAAGGAGCACGCCCGGCUGCUCAAGAACCAGUCCCGUUACGAGCGGGAGCUGAAGAAGCUUCAGGCUGAGGUGGCAGAGAUGAAGAAGGCCAAGGUGGCUUUGAUGAAGCAAAUGAGGGAGGAGCAGCAACGGAGGCGGCUGAUCGAAACCAAGAGGAACCGAGAGAUAGCACAGCUCAAGAAGGAGCAACGGCGGCAGGAGUUUCAGAUCCGGGCUUUGGAAUCUCAGAAGCGCCAGCAGGAGAUAGUGUUGAGGAGGAAAACCCAGGAGGUGUCGGCACUGCGGCGCCUGACCAAGCCCAUGUCAGAACGAGCAGCAGGACGGGUCGGGAUGAAGCCUCCCAUGAUGGACUCUGGAGCAGAGAUAUCAGCCAGCACCACAUCAUCUGAGGCAGAGUCUGGGGCCCGGUCCGUCUCAAGUAUUGUGCGCCAAUGGAAUCGAAAGAUCAACCAUUUUCUGGGGGAUCCAGCAACUCCAGUCAACGGCACUCGUCCUGCCAGGAAGAAGUUUCAGAAGAAGGGGGUCAGCCAGACCUUCAGCAAAGCUGCCCGGUUAAAGUGGCAAUCCCUAGAAAGACGUAUCAUCGACAUCGUCAUGCAAAGGAUGACCAUUAUCAACCUAGAGGCUGAUAUGGAGAGGCUCAUCAAGAAAAGGGAGGAGCUAUUUCUCCUUCAGGAAACACUGAGAAGAAAGAAGGAAAAGCUUCAGGAAGAGAGCCCAGAGGAGGAAAAGGGACUACAGGAAUUGAGUGAAGAAAUUGAGGUGCUAGCAGCCAACAUUGACUACAUCAAUGACAGUAUUUCUGAUUGUCAGGCCACCAUUGUACAGCUGGAGGAGACCAAGGAAGAACUAGAUUCCACAGACACCUCAGUGGUCAUCAGCUCCUGCUCACUGGCUGAAGCCCGACUGCUGUUGGACAACUUUCUCAAGGCCUCCAUUGAAAAGGGUCUACAGGUAGCCCAGAAAGAGGCCCAGAUUCGACUGCUGGAGGGACGACUGAGGCAAACAGAUAUGAACAACUCCUCUCAGAACCACCUGAUCCUGGAUGCCCUUCGAGAGAAGGCUGAGACCCACCCCGAACUGCAGGCCCUGAUUCACAAUGUACAGCAAGAGAAUGGAUAUGCCAGCACAGAUGAGGAGAUCUCAGAGUUCUCAGAGGGGAGCUUCUCCCAGUCCUUCACUAUGAAGGGUUCCACCAGCCAUGAUGAUUUCAAGUUCAAGGGGGAGCCCAAGCUGUCUGCUCAGAUGAAGGCAGUGUCCGCCGAGUGCCUGGGUCCCCCACUGGACAUCUCCACCAAGAACAUCACUAAAUCCCUGGCCUCACUUGUGGAGAUCAAAGAGGACGGGGUGGGCUUCUCCAUCCGAGACCCCUACUACCGAGACAAGGUCUCACGUACCAUCAGCCUGCCCACCCGUGGCAGCACCUUCCCACGGCAAUCCCGAGGCUCUGACACCUCGCCUGUGACACGGAGGAAAUCCUAUGACCGAGGGCAGCCUAUCAGGUCCUCGGACAUGGCCUUCACACCCCCUUCGUCCCCCCCUACACGGCCCCGCAAUGACCGCAACGUCUUCUCUCGCCUCACCAGCAAUCAGAGCCAGGGGUCAGCACUGGACAAGUCUGAUGACAGCGACUCCUCUAUCUCGGAGGUCCUGAGGGGAAUCAUCAGCCCCAUCGGUGGAGCAAAGAGUGCCCGGACUGCUCCUUUGCAAUGUGUCUCAGUGGCUGAGGGUCACACCAAACCCAUUCUUUGCUUGGAUGCCACUGAUGAGCUGCUCUUCACAGGAUCAAAAGACAGAAGCUGCAAAAUGUGGAACCUGGUUACGGGGCAGGAGAUUGCCUCUCUGAAGGGUCAUCCCAAUAAUGUUGUUUCUAUCAAGUACUGUGGCCAUUUGGGUCUGGUGUUCUCCGUCUCUACUUCUUAUAUCAAGGUGUGGGACAUCCGGGAUUCCGCCAAGUGCAUCCGCACCCUCACGUCCUCAGGCCAAGUGAUCUCCGGAGACGCCUGCGCAAGCACCACCAAUCGAACCAUCACCAGUGCUCAAGGGGAACACCAGAUCAACCAGAUUGCCCUCAACCCCACCGGCACCAUUCUCUAUGCUGCCUCUGGCAACUCAGUCCGUGUCUGGGAACUCAACAGGUUCCAGCCCAUUGGGAAGCUGACUGGCCACAUUGGUCCCGUGAUGUGCUUGACGGUCAACCAGACCUCCAAUCACCAUGAUCUUGUGGUGACUGGCUCCAAAGAUCACUAUGUGAAGAUGUUUGAACUGGCAGAGAGUAUAAUGGGCAACAUCAGCCCCACCCACAACUUUGAGCCCCCACACUAUGACGGCAUCGAGUGCCUAGCCAUCCAGGGCGAUGUACUCUUCAGUGGUUCCCGGGACAAUGGAAUUAAGAAGUGGGAUCUGGAGCAGCAGGAGCUCAUUCAGCAAAUUCCAAAUGCCCACAAGGACUGGGUAUGUGCCCUGGCCUUUGUCCCUGGCCGACCCAUGCUGCUGAGUGCUUGCCGAGGGGGCUUCAUCAAGGUCUGGAAUGUGGAAAACUUCACACCCAUUGGAGAGAUCAAAGGUCACGACAGCCCCAUCAAUGCCAUCUGUACCAAUUCCAAGCACAUUUUUACGGCCUCCAGUGACUGCCGGGUAAAGUUGUGGAGUUACGUCCCUGGACUCACCCCCUGCCUUCCACGCCGCGUCCUGGCUAUAAAGGGCCGUGCUACUAGCCUGCCUUGACCCCUCCUCUCCUCCCUCUUCCCUCAUCUUUCCUCUCAGUCCUCCUUUCUCUCCUCUUAUUCUCCCCUUCUUCCCUCUUCCCGUCUUUCUCCACUUCGAUCCGAGCUGCUUCUUAACGUGACCUGACAGUGAAAUUCUGGAGCGGAAGGCGGCUACCCAGCAGCACAUCUUAGGCACAGAGGUCAGAGGGGGCACUCGGAUUCCAUAUUUCUUCUAACUGCCUGGACAUCAUCUAAAGCAAAGCAUCUUGAGACAAUUUAGGCCCCAUGGGUCCAGGCCAGACAAUGCUGAUGGUUCUGGGCAAGAGGGUUUGGGGAUUCUGUUCCCCUCACCUCUCCUAGCCUUCCUAAAGGGAAAGUAUUCCCGAACUCAUCUCUUAGUGGGGUGGGAGCCCCUUGUAGGAAAGGAGAGGGGAAGGAUAUUAAGCUGUGAAGCCAAAGGGCAUUUUUGAUCCCCACUCUUUCCUCUGAAGCUCCUCAGCUUCUUCCAGGUUUGGUCCCAUUUUCUUCCUCCUGAACUGUCCUCUCCUCUCCCCAACCUCAGGAGCUCUCCAGCUGGCCUGUGAGGAGACCUUGGGGAAAUUUUUGUUAGCCCCCUCCCACUCCCCCAGAAAGCCCUAUGGUGGGAGGGAAUUCUGAGCCAGGCUGAGGGGAUCCCCCAGCCCCCACCAGCCAUAUUUUAUCUUUGAAAUAUUUUUGCCCUUUUUCUUCUUCCAUCUGAACUCUGCCUUCAGAUGGGCAUCUUUCCUCCAAUCCUCUCCUGCCCCUCUGGUGCCCAAUUCCUGCCUCUCUGAGUCCUCAGCCUUUUCCCCCAAAAGGAAGGAGGUCAAAAGAAAAAGAGUGCCUCCUUCUAGGAACCAUGGAAAUUUGGGGAUGGUAGCUAUCAGGCCCUACCCUGGGUCCACCACCAUCCCAUUCCAUCCCAUCCAAUCCCAUCCCAUCCCAUCCCACCCCACUAAUCUCCUGGGCUCAGCCCACCCUGUCCCAGGGAUUGGAGCAGGCCUAUCCAUCAGAAAGUUCCAUCUGAAGAGAGAGUCACAGAUUCAGCCUGGUCAUUUUAUUUAUUUAUUUAUUUGUUUAUUUAUUUAUUCUUUUUUUUUGCUGGUGCCUCCUGGAAACCAACUUGACAUUUCAUCUAAUGUAGUCUAUCCCUUGAGCCUCUCUGAGGUCAGGGAAUCCUGAGGGAGGAUGGGGACAGGGAGAAAGCCUGGGGAGGGGGUAAGAAGGGUCCUCAGAUGGGAAUGGGUGCCAGUUAGUACCCUUGAACCUCUGCUUCUGAGCCAUCCAACUCACCCUAGCCUUCAACACAUUUUGGGAUCAAUUGGGGAACAAUUUCCCUUUUGACUUUUCCCCUCUCUCCCUGCUCUCACUUCUAUCUACACCAUCUUCCUAAUCUACACACCCCCACACACACUUCCUUCCAAUCCAUUCUGGGCUUUUCCUGACUUUCCUGUCUGAGGGUGAGCAUCCUAGCCCAUAAUUCCCUUCAUACCAUCAGAUGCUCCAGUGCCUUCCAUCCCCCUGGGGCUUGGCACCCACACCUGGGUGACCUCAUGCCAGUGGUGCCAGCCACGUUUCUUGCUGCCUCUCCUUGCAACCUUCCAUCCUGGUAACUGCUGCCUGCCCGCCCCCCCCCCUUCCCCCUCUGGAUCUAACCUAAAGGAGAUCCUGCUCUAUACCCCAACCCCUACCCACCCCCCCUUGCCACCCCAUGCUAUGUUACAAACCCUAUCUAGGGGGGAUUCCUGCCCCACUCCCACAUCACUUAAGAAGCAGCUUUUGGAUCUCCUUUGUUUCAUGGUACUGUGUAUAGUAGGAUGUCUUGAGUAGUAAGGACUAAACUUUAGGGUCUGUUCCUUUGCCCCUCCCAUUCCCCCCAUCAGCUGGAAUAGUCAUUCCAGGGACAUGAUGGGGAAUGGACUCCGAAGGUUCUCCAUGGUUUUAACUAUACCAUAGCCCAGUUUGUAUCUCCAGCUCCUUUCUCUCUGGUUAUUCAAGAGACACAUUUUCAAGCCUUAAAACUGGAAGGAAACAAGGGAGAAUCAUUACUCAUUCAAAAGACCCAGUACCCUUUGGGAAUUUUGGUUUUGGUUUUUGGUCAGGGGGGAGGGUGGGGGACGGGUGUUGAAUUGAAAAAGGCUCUGGGUUUUGUUUUGUUUUUUUCUUGCCCAGGGCCCACUCAGUAGUUGAAUUUUGUAUUAAAUUAAUAUCUGGGGUUCCCUUCCUGGUGGGACCAAUGAACUCAAAGACUACGCCAAGGACUCCCAGGGAAAUGCAGAGUGGCUUCCUUCCCCAUCUUAUUUUUCUGCUGCCACACCAGCCCUGUGCUUCUCUGGCUUCUUCCUGCUGGCAAUGGGCAUAGAGAGAUUUGAGAUCUGAGGCCAAGCACCCAAGCUGGAGUCUCACUCGUCCUCUUCGGAGAGAGCUUAUGACUUGGUGCUUCUGGAAACGGACACGAGCAUCUCUCCUCCCUCAUCUCACAGCACUUGGGCCACCAGGAGGAUAUGGACCCACUCCAGUUGGGCAGAAGCCAGGAGUAGGAAGACUUUUUUCAGCUUCUGAACAAAAAGUAGCAUGGAAGAGGAGAAAGCGGUUCUUCUUUAUCAUGGACAAGGCUUUUACGGUGCACAAGGAGUUUCUGUGUCUGAAAGGGAGAAAACUGCCAAGGGGAAAGCUAUCUUUCCCUAGCUUGUCCUCACCCUGUAAACAUCAGCAGACCAACUUAUCCCCCUACUGAGAAACGGCGAUGCCUUGGCAGAAUGAUUGUGCUCCCACUUCAUCCCUUUACUGGAUGUGGUUUGAAAUUUGGGGUGAUUUUGGUUGCAGGAAGGAAAAAAAUGAAGUUUUGGUCUUCGGGGAACAAUAGACAGUAUGACUGGUGGCUUGUUACUCUCUCUUCAGCCCCCAUGCUUGGGAUGGGCGGGGGGGGGGUGCGGUACAAGAGUGGAAGGUCCAAUUUCCAUGUCCCACAAACACCUCCCCUCCACUCCAAAGCAAGCAUGUGUUUGUUUACCUGUCCUUCCUCUUCACCACACCAUCUUCAACUUGGCUCUUGUGCCCUAGGAGAUGGGGGAAGAGUUUCCUCCAAUGGGAGCUGCUGUUUACAAACACACAAGACUGCAUUCCUCAUCCCCCCUUGACUUUGGGUCCCACCAGGUCAGGGGAGCCAGCCCCCAGUAGUGAGAACUGUACUGCGAGUUUUGAUUUGGUUCCCACUCAAGGUUUGAUCCCAAGGUCCCCUGUGUUGUGGUUGUUGUCUGAUCCUUUUGUUGUUGUUGAUAUUGGGUAAGCUACCUCAUGGCUGGGCCUGGGCUUUGCUGUAUGUGAGUGUGCUGGCUUUCCAGAAACUUGAAAUCCUGUUGAGCAACUUGAGGCCCUGACUAAUGUGGUCACUCCAUCCCACUGGGCAGCUGAGCUUGGAGAAAGUUGGGUCUCUCCGUGCUUUCUUGAAGGAGGGUUGAGAGGCACAGGCUUUGGGUCUGAGCUAGAGAGCAAGGAUUGCAACUUCACAAGUAUUUAUAAGUGUUUGAAGUGUUAUAAGCACAAAAUGAUUGUAUUCUGAGCACAAGGGCCCUAGAGCCUGAGCACAAGCCCUAGAAUGAGGAAGCUUUAACCCAGUUUUAGAACACAGGAUGACCAGGCCACUAGACCUACCUCUGAGUUCCCAUCCUUUUUCUGUCCUCAGUCCCUCUGGGCAGAGAAGAAGACAUGUAAUGGCCAACAUGUCCUGCUCUAGGCAAGAGAAUUUGCCAAACUUGCCCUGGCUCCCUUCCCUUAGGUCAACCCCAGGGGCUAUGCCAUAGGGAAGGCAGUCAUCCUAUCCUACUUGGUCCAUUCAGUCUGUCAGUGCCCACUCUGCCCUGGAAUUGGGGAGCCCUAUUCCUUUGGGAAUUCAUCAGAGGUAGUUAUAUAAAGGCCAGAAAGGUGGGUCAUGCCAGUAAGCCUGGGGCAUGGGGACAUGAGACCCUCGUCCUUGUCAUCCCCUAAGAACUCAAGAGAUUAGAACUCUGAGCCCAUGGCUAUCCCCAGACGUUGGCCUCAAAGCCUUUCCGUCUCUAGCCCAAAAUGAUUCAUGGGCCCAUCAAGUCUCCUGGGUUAGGGCUCUUAACUAGGGCAAAGAUUCUCAAGCACAGUAUUAUUGUCCUUUAUAGUAUUUACUCUCUAAGCUAGUGGCAACUCUGUCCUGAGCAAGCUUUUCCACAAUAGACCUUGGAGUUAGCACUGGAGAGGUGGCAGAGUCAGCAGGAGAGUGCUGAUGCCAGGAGUUUUCAUUUGCAGGAAAUGGGACCUCCCCCUGCAAUGAAGGUGAGACUUGGAAGGGACCUUCAUAGCCAUUUCUUCUCAUACUCUAAUGUGGUCCCCGCUAUUUGCAAACAAAGUUGAUAGUGGGGAAGCAUCUGAGAAAAUCUGUACCAAUGGGUAGGAUUUGAUGAAUCCCAUAGGAAUUUUAUAAAGCCAGGUCCCUCCGUUGCCUUUCCUCGUCCCCCUGGAAGCCGGCCCUCCCCUUACACCUGGAUGGGCAGGUCCCAUCUCAGCCAGGUUGGCUUCCUGGGAUGUUCAGGUUAAUGAUGCCCACAGGGCAGGAAUUUUCAUUGUGCUGCUGCCCUCUUAUUCUAUACACCUAGUGCCAGGGUUUCACCCCCUCAUACACCCUCACCCAGCUGGUCUGGAUCCUUUGCCAGGCUGAUCUCUCCAUCUUCACUGAAUUGCCAAGGCUUCUCUUAUCCCACUAUGUCCUUGGUUUCCCUCCUGGCCAGAUGCCAUUCCCUAAAGACUGGUACUCUCUUCCUGCUUCCUCUGGUUCUCUGGCUCUACGCCUGGAAAUCCAGGACAGGAAAGAGGCUUGUGGGGACUGAGCCCAGCAGUUUAGCGAGCAUCCCUGGCUACUUUCAGUCCCCUUUUUCCCCACCCCAACAUCAGCACUCAUCCCUCUCCCCAGUGCACAGCUGAGGGCACAGACUCUCAGCUAGGACCCCAUUCCCCCUUCUACCACUGCUUUGAGUGAGAUCACAAAGUCCGCCAGCCCCAAAGGAGCAGGAGUGUAUGGAGAGGAAACCACCUUCCUUGACCUGGCCACCAGCUGUUUUCUAGAGGCUCCCGGCUUAGGUCUUGCCCUUGCUCCUCUCUGUGAUGUGUAUAGCACAAGGUGUAUAUAUGUUUUGUAUCUUCUCGGACAACUGUACAUAGUGUAAGAAAGUUAUUUAAACCUCACGCUGUACAUUUUUGUUUUCAACCUAGAUGUGUUGGUUCCCAGGAGGUCUUCGUAAAUAAAGCCAAAAUGGCCAUUGUUUGUGGA
Non-coding RNA from Monodelphis domestica (gray short-tailed opossum), 11182 nucleotides. Lineage: Eukaryota; Metazoa; Chordata; Mammalia; Didelphimorphia; Didelphidae. The record is from RefSeq and is a predicted model, not a curated record.